AAGCUUAGGAUAAUCUAAAACCGAGGACCUUCAAAGCCCUAAAUAGGGAUUUACCCCCUAGCUUCU
Molecule: transfer RNA, 66 nt
Filed under: Urosaurus gadovi
Lineage: Eukaryota; Metazoa; Chordata; Lepidosauria; Squamata; Phrynosomatidae
Description: tRNA-Trp
Source: RNAcentral